CCGAAGUACCAAUGCUACUCACAACCUCAACAUAAAAAGAAGCGAAACAGAAGAGAAGAGGGAGGAAGAACCGAAAUGACUUCAUUUCCCAGGUCUGAGAGUUAGAGCGAAUAUGAUCGCUUGGCAAGUCUAUUUAUUGAGGUCUAUUUAUUGAGGUAGACUUAUCACUCCCAAUUCCGGACACACUCUGUUUCGUUCAGAAUUCUUACAACACAUGGAACAGUUGAUCGAAAGAGAAAGGGUACUUACAGGUCCACCCUGCAGCCACAGGAUAGUUGGCCAUGGAGUCGAGCCAUUGUCCACUCUUUGAGGACUCCUGUAGAGCCACCAGAACAUGUGUGCUCCUGCACCACCACAGCUCCAUCAAACAAAGCAAGUAGGGUUGGAAUAGGAGAAACCAAAGAGAGGAAAAAAAACCUAAAUUACCUGGCCUUACUUCGACAUAACCCCAUUCCUCUGCUCCAUCCGAAGUACCAAUGCUACUCACAACCUCAACAUAAAAAGAAGCGAAACAGAAGAGAAGAGGGAGGAAGAACCGAAAUGACUUCAUUUCCCAGGUCUGAGAGUUAGAGCGAAUAUGAUCGCUUGGCAGGUCUAUUUAUUGAGGUAGACUUAUCACUCUUUAGAAUGAUCGGUUUGAUGGUUUUUGAUCUAUUGACCUUUAUCUUAAUUAAUCGUUGAGCGAAUAUGAUCGCUUGGCA
Long non-coding RNA from Zingiber officinale, 701 nucleotides. RefSeq lists it as uncharacterized. The record is from RefSeq and is a predicted model, not a curated record. The transcript is spliced from 2 exons. Lineage: Eukaryota; Viridiplantae; Streptophyta; Magnoliopsida; Zingiberales; Zingiberaceae.